RNAcentral lists this ribosomal RNA (502 nucleotides) under uncultured bacterium. Its description in RNAcentral is "partial 16S ribosomal RNA". It matches the Rfam family "Bacterial small subunit ribosomal RNA", at positions 899 to 1397 of the family's 1533-position model. The record is from RNAcentral.
ACUCAAAUGAAUUGACGGGGACCCGCACAAGCGGUGGAGCAUGUGGAUUAAUUCGAUAAUAACCGAAGAACCUUACCCAGGUUUGACAUCGAUCGUAAGCCUCUGAAAGGAGGCCCUCUCCCACAAGGAGACGUGAAGACACUUGUUGCAUGGCUGUCGUCAGCUCGUGCCGUGAGGUGUACGGUUAAGUCCGCCAACGAGCGCAACCCUCGUCCUGUGUUACCAGCACGUAAUGGUGGGGACUCACAGGAGACCGCCGGUGUAAGCCGGAGGAAGGUGAGGAUGAUGUCAAGUCAGCAUGGCAGUUACGCCUGGGGCUUCACACAUGCUACAAUGGGCGAAACAAAGGGAAGCAAUACCGCGAGGUGGAGCCGAUCCCAAAAAUACGUCCUCAGUUCAGAUUGUAGUCUGCAACUCGACUACAUGAAGGCGGAAUCGCUAGUAAACGCAGGUCAGCUAUACUGCGUUGAAUACGUUCCCGGGUCUUGUACACACCGCCCGU